AUGCCCUGCUCCUCGGCAUCUGUGUUUCUUUCGUUUCUCCAGGUUAAAAUUCACCAUCUUGUGUUUCUUCAUUGGGCGAAUCAAGAUCUUCCAUUGGAACGCAGGAUGUCACCGUCGAGAUCCAGGAAGCGCCCUUUGGGGCCGCAGCCCACCACCGCGCUCGCAAAGAAGCGGCACUGCCCCGCGCCCGCGGUGCUGGCCUCGGAUGAUGUCGCUGGCGCGGCGGUACCCUCGUCGCCGUCCUCCUCCUCCUCCUGGGCGUCGCUUCCAGGGGAUAUGGUUCGACAGAUAGCUUGGCGCGUGCUGGCCGGCGAUUUUCUGGAUUACGUCCGCCUCCGCGCCGUUUGCACCAGUUGGCGGUCCGGCGCCGUGUGCCCGCGCGGCCGCGGCGUCACCGAUCCACGCUUCCACCCGCGCCGCUGGAUGAUGCUGCCGGAGGGCAACGGCCUCUACCCCGGCCACAGAAACCUGGGUGGCUACAUCCGCUUCUUCAACCUUGACACUGGAGCCCUCGCCCGUGUCGAGCUCCCCCUGUUCAAGAACCACUGUGCUCUGGAAUCGGUCGACGGCCUCCUGCUCCUCCAGAGAGACCAAGACACCGCCAUCCGCCUCCUCCACCCUUUCACUCGCGACAUUGUUGAGCUCCCGCCGCUCGCCACCCUCCUCACGCAGCUGGGCGACGAUCUCCGCAGCGCGCACACCGACCCCGAGCUGCGGAAAUGGUACUACAUCAGAUACUGCGUGUGCGCUUCCGUUUCCUGCAGCGGUGGAUCCGUCGUCGUCAUGCUCGCGUUCCGUCGUCUGAUGCGUGUAGCCUUUGCGACCUCCGACUCCCAGGACCAGCAAUGGACCAUGCCAAGCUGGGAAGUCCCGUUUAACACUGCGGCCUUGGCAUUCCAAGGCAAGCUAUACUUUGUGCACCACCCUACGACUAAUGGCUCGCUGGUUUUCCAGAUCGACCCGCCCCUGCGGGUUGGUUCGCCGCCACUGCCGCCAAAGCUGAUCGCCACAUGUCUGGUGGAUAAACUCUACAGGGGCUCCCAUCUGGUAGAAUGCGACUCACAGAUCCUGCUUGUUGGCCAUGGCGACAGUUCCUUGAAGCACAUUGUGAUUUACAAACUCGAGGACCUUAUCUUGGAAAGGUUUAUCCCGGUGACAAGCAUUGGAGACCGUGCCCUCUUUCUCCAAGGGAAGUGCCUGAGUGUCUCCUCCACGGCGCUGCCUACUGUCAUGUCUGAUACUGUUGUCUGUACCCAUCCAAUAUACUAUUAUUAUGCACAAUACCACCUCAGGACUGGUGCUUGGUCUCAACCAAUCGACACAUGCGGUCUAGAUGGCUUUAACCCGGGUCCUCGUAGCCUCAUCCACCAUGUCAUUACUUGCUGCAUUCGCAAUGUCUGGUAUUGUACUGGCACUCCUACUCCUAUUUAUGUUGUCACAGCUGUUCCUAGAUCAUGUUAA
Molecule: ribosomal RNA, 1461 nt
Filed under: Triticum aestivum (bread wheat)
Lineage: Eukaryota; Viridiplantae; Streptophyta; Magnoliopsida; Poales; Poaceae
Description: partial small subunit ribosomal RNA
Source: RNAcentral